GGAAUCUUGGUCAAUGGGCGCAAGCCUGAACCAGCGAUGCCGCGUGAGUGAUGAAGGCCUUCGGGUUGUAAAGCUCUGUGGGGAGGGACGAAAGAGCGAGGUCUAACAGGCCUGGUGUUGACGGUACCUCCUUAGCAAGCACCGGCUAACUCUGUGCCAGCAGCCGCGGUAAGACAGAGGGUGCAAACGUUGCACGGAAUCACUGGGCGUAAAGGGCGUGUAGGCGGGCAGGAAAGUCAGAUGUGAAAUCCCUGGGCUCAACCCAGGAACUGCAUUUGAAACUCCCUGCCUUGAGUGCUGGAGAGGAAAGCGGAAUUCCUGGUGUAGAGGUGAAAUUCGUAGAUAUCAGGAGGAACACCGGUGGCGAAGGCGGCUUUCUGGACAGUAACUGACGCUGAGACGCGAAAGCGUGGGGAGCAAAC
Molecule: ribosomal RNA, 422 nt
Filed under: uncultured bacterium
Lineage: Bacteria
Description: bacterial SSU rRNA
Rfam family: Bacterial small subunit ribosomal RNA
Source: RNAcentral